GGCAGAGGGGACACAGCUCCGGCUGGAGGUGGCAGAGGGGACACAGCUCAUGUUUGCAGCAGCAGCGGGGACACAGCUUCUGUUGGGAGUGACAGAGGGGACACAGCUCCUGUUGGGGGGACGGAGGGGACAGAGCUCCUGUUGGGGGGUGGUAGAAGGGACAAAGCUCCUGUUGGGGGGUGGCAGAGGGGACAGAGCUCCUGCUGGAGGUGGCAGAGGGGACACAGCUCCUGCUGGGGGUGACAGAAGGGACACAGCUCCUGCUCGGGGUCGGGGGGGUGAUGAGGUGGGGGACCUCAUCCCGGUGUGUCCCUGCAGGGCUGUGGGUCAGGAACGGGACGGGGCUGAUCCGCAAGGAGGGCCGGCAGCUGUACUGGACCUUCGUCUCCUCCCAGCUGGGAUACUGGGCAGCGGCUCUGCCCUCCCCCAGCACGGGGCUGGUGGCGAUGGCAGCGGGUGUGACAGACAUCACCACCUACCACACCAUCUUCCUCCUCACCAUCCUGGGUGCCCUGGCCCUGCUCGUCCUCAUCCUCCUCUGCCUCCUCAUCUACUACUGCAGGUCAGUGUCCUGCCCGUGGCACGGGGGUGGGAAUGGGGGUCAGCACCCACCUGUAACCCGGGGGGACCAUUUCCUGGCACCCUAAAACUGGUUAUAGGAGGGGCAGUAUCCUCCAGGUACCCCUGGGUGCCCCAUAUCUGCCUUUGGGAAGGGGGGCACUACCCCAAGGCACCCCUAAGUGCCCUAAAGUUGACUAUGGGGAGGAGGCACCAGCCUGUGGCACCCUUGAGUGCCCUGUAACUAUUCUGGGGGAGUCACCACCCCUUGGAACCCCCAAAUGCCCUCUAGUUGGCUACGGGGAGGAGGCACCAGCCUGUGGCACCUCUGGGUGCUCUUUAGCUGGAUUUGGGAGCCAGACGCUGAUCUCCAGAAACACUGGGUGUUCUACAGCUGGCUUGGGAGGGGGGGACACCACUCCCCAGCACCCCUGGGUUUCCUAUAACUGGAUAUGGGGGUGACACAGGGGUGUCACAGGGGACACAGUGUUGACACCCAGCACCCCUGGGUUUCCUAUAACUGGAUUUGGGGGGUGACACACCAUUCCCCAGCACCCCUGGGUGCCCUAUAACUGGAUCUGAGGAGUGAUACAGCACGCCCCAGCAUCCCUGGGUGCCCUAUAACUGGAUUUGGGGGGGUGACACAAGGUGUCACAGGGAACACAGGGGUGACACCCUGCACCCCUGGGUGCCUAUAACUGGAUUUGGGGGGG
This 1271-nucleotide long non-coding RNA is filed under the name Zonotrichia albicollis (white-throated sparrow). Its description in RNAcentral is "lncRNA (ENSZALG00000009283.1)". The record is from RNAcentral. Lineage: Eukaryota; Metazoa; Chordata; Aves; Passeriformes; Passerellidae.